GGUUGGUUGGCAAUGCGUUUGGGAGAGUUAAAGCUCGGUGGCAGCUGUUGGCGAGAAGGUGGAAAGAGGAUUGCGUUGAAAUUUUCCCUCUCUCAUCUGCCUCUCCUUCGAAAACUGGCAGUUCCUCCUCCCGUAGAAUGCGUCCUACGCUCUCCUCUGGCAAUGGCUCACUAUACUUUAUUAGAAAAUUAUGCAGCAAACAACCCAUCACAAUCACGAAUGGGAAAAUUUCAAC
RNAcentral lists this unclassified non-coding RNA (235 nucleotides) under Hevea brasiliensis (rubber tree). Lineage: Eukaryota; Viridiplantae; Streptophyta; Magnoliopsida; Malpighiales; Euphorbiaceae. The record is from RNAcentral.